UACGUAGGGUGCGAGCGUUGCCCGGAUUUAUUGGGCGUAAAGGGCGCGUAGGCGGCUACGCACGUCCGUUGUGAAAUCGCUCGGCUCAACUGGGCGGGGUCAGCGGAUACGGUGUAGCUGGAGCAAGCUAGGGGGCAAUGGAAUUCCCGGUGUAGUGGUGGAAUGCGUAGAUAUCAGGAGGAACACCAGUGGCGAAGGCGGCUACCUGGCCCACUCUUGACGCUGAGGCGCGAAAGCUAGGGGAGCAAACGGG
RNAcentral lists this ribosomal RNA (253 nucleotides) under uncultured bacterium. RNAcentral's name for it is "partial 16S ribosomal RNA". It matches the Rfam family "Bacterial small subunit ribosomal RNA", at positions 524 to 776 of the family's 1533-position model. The record is from RNAcentral.